CGCUAACACAACCAACAACAGCAAGAAAGGCCAAGAAAGAACUCUCCGAAUUGAAAGUUUAUUUGGUGCAGGCCCUGGAAUAUGAAAACUUUUCCACCACUUCAAGAUUGUUUGGAACGAACUGGGUUCAG
RNAcentral lists this long non-coding RNA (131 nucleotides) under Podarcis muralis (Common wall lizard). RNAcentral's name for it is "lncRNA (ENSPMRG00000005086.1)". Lineage: Eukaryota; Metazoa; Chordata; Lepidosauria; Squamata; Lacertidae. The record is from RNAcentral.